CAAUAGGCAGCUAAAUGAACUCUAAUUCUUUGUCUAAUCCCUAAAGUCUUUUGCUCCAAAUUUCAGUCUACUUUGUCACAAAGUUUACUGCUCAAACAUCUGCUAAUAACAUUCAAACAAAUUAAAAAACUAUGAUUGAACAUCCAUACAUAUAUGCUUCAAUAGAUCUUUCACACAACGCUACAUUCACUAAACCUCAUCAUACUUACUUCCUUCAAACCAUAACAUAUCUAAGUGGAGCUAAUUUGGUCAUAUAACAUGUGAUGAAUUUCCAAAGAAAUGCAGAAGCUGCAUUAUCACAAAUAUGCCGCAAUGUUUCGAAUUACCUCACCAUGUUAGACAUUUUUUCAAAUGAUACACAACGACACAUCUAUUGCACAUAUAGGAUGGUAGAAACUGAAAUUUAGGCAGAUGCACAAAAUUAGACAAAAGAUUUAACAUAUCUGAAUCAUUUAGUGAAAGCAACACGGAGAGCUGUAGAGAUUACCUAAUUGAGCUUAGAUAACAACAGUCAAGAGACCAAACCAAGCUGAAUACAGCUACAAUUUGGAGCUCAUCCACAAAUUUAAAGGAGAACAACAACAAAAGUAAUGAAUCUAGCUGAAUCCACUUUGAAACCCAUGAAGAAAGAAUUCGAGUUUUGAAAUAAACUUUUCUUCAAUAUUUCUUCGAUUUUGUUGGGGUUCACGUUCAUGAGAAGAUGAAGAGAGAGAAGAGGGAGGGUAGCGCCGUUGCUAGGUUCCAGUCAUGGAAUGGGGAUCUCUAUGAUUUCUUGUGUUUUUGAUUGAGGAUGAGAGAAUCAAGCUUUUGUUUUGAGAUGAGCGUCCCUUUUGGAAUGGUUGAAAUGGCGUUAGAGACGGUGGGAGUCUCUGACCUUGUUCUCUGAUGUUGAAGACCAGAGAUGCGCUGCUCCUCGUUUUCUUUUUUUUUUAGGGGAGGGUGCAGGGAUCUAAUGGUCUGUUUU
RNAcentral lists this long non-coding RNA (964 nucleotides) under Nicotiana benthamiana. Its description in RNAcentral is "long non-coding RNA (NBEN_LNC007696)". The record is from RNAcentral. Lineage: Eukaryota; Viridiplantae; Streptophyta; Magnoliopsida; Solanales; Solanaceae.